Molecule: long non-coding RNA, 626 nt
Filed under: Rosa chinensis
Lineage: Eukaryota; Viridiplantae; Streptophyta; Magnoliopsida; Rosales; Rosaceae
Description: sRNA RchiOBHm_Chr6g0291201
Source: RNAcentral
CCUCUUUCCAAGGCCAGCAUCGCCUUCCUCUCCGCUCACUCCCGCUACUAUCUCUCUCUCAUUAACCACCUCCACCACCUCGCCGUCGCUAUCACCUGUACCCUCAAGCUCUCUCUCUCUCUCUAGCUCUCGAGCUCUCUAAGAUCUCAGAAGAUUUCAAUCUGGCAACACAUCCUCUACAACAGGUUUUAAUCUGAAUUAAUCGCGUUAAUGAUGGGUGGAGAUUUGGGGAUACCUGCAUUCCCUGAAGAAGACUGCAUUCUUCAAGAGUGAGAUUCGGAGGAGGUUGUUUGUGAUGGCAGUACUGAUCAAUUGUGAUUAGUCGUGUUGGUUAUUUCAUUCCUCUGCCUGGGUUUGAUAGAAGGUUAAUACCUCAGGAUCAGUUGAUGAGCUCGGUGAUUUUACAGCUGAGCUUAAAAUGUCCUUGUUCCAGCUUGGAAUCAGUCCUCAAAUUAUAGCAUCGAUUAUAAUCACUCCUCCCUCUCUCUCUCUCGUCUGUGCUUUUCUCUCUUGUCUAAUGAACUAGACGAAUGCAAUAGCUAAACAAGGUUCUUUUGCUAAAGGCUAGGAACCAGUAUACUUGGAAAGGGUUUGGGGCAAUCCCUAAUGCUUUACAGGAGCUAAAG